ACAAUACAGACCUACUCUUCUUUUAUAGUAUGUACAGAGGAUGUGCAUUGUGUCCAGUUAAAAUGGAACAGAUGGAGGGAGAGUCAGGUUAGAUCAUUCAGGGAUGUGUUGUGUCAUAUAAUGAUCUCAAACCAGAUGUCAUUGCACUCAGGAGAAUACUCCCUGUUACCAGGAGAUGUGUAAAAGGUGGAUUAGCGAUAUUAGAGAUAAGUACAAUGAGAUUGUGAAAAGAUAGUGUUAUCUAAUCUAGGCCUGGACGAUAUAGAAAAAAAGCAUAUCGAUAAAAAAUAAAUCAUAUUGAUCGAUAUCGAUAAUUAUCGAUAUAAUUAUUAUAAUUAUUUAACAUAUAUUUUAAUUGCAGCCCUGGAUGUUUUAUGCUAUUGCUUAAUGACCUACUUUUAAUAAAGAACACAGAAGCACUGAAUUCAAAUUCAAACCUUUAUUCAACCACCUUUUUUAUUUUACCACAACUGAAAGUUUUUUAAAAAAGAACUAAAAAAAAAAAGAAAUCAACUUAAGGGGCCUGAGUGACCUCAGUAAAUACUGACAAACAUAAAGACUAAAGUGACCAGAAAAUCUGAUAAAUAAAUAUUUAAAUAGUCUUUUGAUGAAAAUAAACAAAUAUAUAAAUAAACAGAAUAGCUUUAGGUGGGAAUAACAUACUACCAGUUUUAACUGUGUGAGAAACUGCCCACAGCCUGGUGUCUGAACACUGAAAUAUUUCCCCCGGGGUCGGGAGAUUUAUUUUUUUUAAUUAUCAUGUGAUUGACUUGAUACGCAAACUGAGCACGAGAAGCAGGACUUAUCCACGCCGGUGUUGUGUCGUAGAAUGCACCCCUGCCGAAUGCACCCCCUGCUAGUAGCCAUGAUCCAAAUACUCGCGUCUUUGUAAAAUAUGAGCUCAUUUUCUUCCACUUUAAGAAGCUAAUGAGUGGACGGGAUGCAGGGGUGCAUUCUUCUCACCUUUUCAACCGCUGACCCAUUUUCAUGACUGAAGCGCUGUGUUUGAGAAAUACUUGCGGCCGGGCACUUCAUAUCGCGGGUCGAGAGUGGCUAGAAGCUGGUCGAAGCCAGGCUUUUCAACGGUAGCUAUUGGCAGUAUGUCCCUCGCUAUGCAGCAUGUUACUGCAUGGGUGAUGUCCUUAUGCCGCUCGGACGCUUUGUCGUAUUUUGACAAGAAACGAAGUCCAGUUUGGUCUGCUUCACUUGCUUUGUGCUGGUGCUGGCAGCGGUUCCAGAGGAUUCCUCCGACGACGUGGAGCCGCGGCGCGGCCGACACAGCUCGUACUCCUGCGGGUGCGACCGGUUUAGAUGGUAAAACAAGUUGGUUGUGUUACCAGACUUGGUUUUUACUAAUUCUCUGCAAAUUUAGCAAACGACCGCUGUUCGCUUUUUGUCAGACUUCUAAAAACCAAAACAUUGCCAUGCUGGUGAACUACUGACAAUGUCCUCCGCUUCUCCUUGCUGUAUCAUUUUUUCUAAUACACGUGCUGUCUGUCGUGGUUUGAUAGGGGCUGGGCUUGGUGCCGUAGCGUACCUGGGUCUGCGUUUGUGAUUGGUUGGGAGGAAGUAAUGACUGUAGCAAAAGCUACAUGAUAGGCUAUGAUGAAAAAGAAAGGGAAACUGUGUUUUUCUAUCGAACUUUUUAUCGACCCGUUUUUUUUCUAUCGCACCACACGUCUAUCGAUCGAUAUAUAUUGUUAUCGAAUUAUCGUCCAGCACUAAUCUAAUCCAUCCAUGUCAUUUGAUGGAUGUGACACACUUGAGUUGGCUAAAGUAGAGACAAAAAAUGACAACAUGAGGCUCCUUUUCUACAAAUUACUGCAUUGUGAAGUGAAUCCCAGGACGCUCUGAUAGUGACCUCCAUAUUCUGCACACCGCACCUUUUGAAAAACAUGAGAUCCAGUUUGAAAAACCCUUCACAGUAAAUGUUUUUGAACAUGUCCACACUUGAUCUUUAAGGUUUGUGGCGGCGCCUUCGGCAGAAACAGGUUUGAAACUCCUGAUCAGGCUGCGGCGUUCACGUGUGUUCACGUGUACUUCCAUGUUACCUUUGAGGAUAAACAACUUGGCAGAGAGCAGUGAAAUCCUUCAGUAACCUGUGUCCUGGUGCCCUCACUACAGUUUCACAACAACCUCUGCCAACGCCCACUGCUGCGUGUGUGAAAGACUGUCAACAGAAACCCUGCCGCACUGCCAACUAUUUACAGUCUGUUAUGAUUACACUGAAGUUAAAGUUCAACCAGAGUGUCGGCAUGGUUUCUGCUCCAUUACUGCUUCUUUUUUUCCUUAAAUGCCUCCAAGUGAAGGUAUGUUUACAGUUUUCCUCUUACUCCAGUUUCUGACAUGAAAUCCACCCUGAAGGUUUGGCCUACUUCCCUUUGAAAGCGACUGUAUAUCAUCACAUCACGUGUUAAGGUGCACAAAUUGGACUGCUGCUGUUUCCCUCUGGUGGUCAGUUUGGUACUUGCAAGUAGAGCAUCAUUCAAACUCAGAAUGUGCUUUAAAAGUCGUGUUUGGAUCCAUGAAGGUUGAAGAAAAAGAACAUAUUACUGAAACUAGCUCAUCUUAUUGACACUAACUGUGAAAUUACACAAGUUAAUAUGUUGAUAAUAGCGUGGAUUGAUGCCUCAUGAACAAUUCCAGCUGACAUCCCAUUUUAUUUUGGACAAGUAAACAUUUUAGACAGUUUAGGUCGUGUUCUGCCCUUUCAUAUCUAUGAUCAGAAAAGAUCAUUAAAACAAAAACACAGUCAAGUCUUUCUGGAAAAAUAACACACUCCUUCUUAAUUAGGAUUAAUAAUAGCUCCAUCGCCCACACAGUCUAAUUAAAAGUAGAUUUAAAAUUAGGUUUAAAGUAGGGCUGGGCGAUAAAACGAUCACAAUAUACAUCAAAAAUGAAUUUCCCUCGAUAUCAAUAUGAAACAUGGUCAAUAUGCUUUUAGGUAGGCAUUUUGCCACAGCAGAGCACACAACAAACCCUAAGCAGAGCAAGGAGCCCAUGGCGCCUGUGCAGCCGAAACAGCCGACCAUUCAGUCGCUGUCUCUAGAGCAACACCUUAUGACAAAACGUCAAAGUGCCACAAAGACCUCAUAGAUGCAGUCGCUUACUGUUUUGCAAAAGACAUGCAACCAAUAAGCACUGUUAAAUUUGAUUUAAGAGCAAAAGGGAACAUUUAAGAUCGACA
Xyrichtys novacula (pearly razorfish) is the source of this 3187-nucleotide non-coding RNA. The record is from the annotation of a GenBank genome assembly. NCBI's taxonomy places the organism in Eukaryota, Metazoa, Chordata, Actinopteri, Labriformes, Labridae.